Molecule: ribosomal RNA, 305 nt
Filed under: uncultured bacterium
Lineage: Bacteria
Description: bacterial SSU rRNA
Rfam family: Bacterial small subunit ribosomal RNA
Source: RNAcentral
CAAACCUAUGGGACGCAGCAGUGAGGAAUAUUGGUCAAUGGGCGGGAGCCUGAACCAGCCAAGUCGCGUGAGGGAUGACGGCCCUAUGGGUUGUAAACCUCUUUUGCCGGGGAGCAAAGUGCCGCACGUGUGCGGUUUGGAGAGUACCCGGAGAAAAAGCAUCGGCUAACUCCGUGCCAGCAGCCGCGGUAAUACGGAGGAUGCGAGCGUUAUCCGGAUUUAUUGGUUUUAAAGGUUGCGUAGGCGGACGCUUAAGUCAGCGGUAAAAUUGCGGGGCUCACCCUCGUCGAGCCGUUGAAACUGGG